UGUAGUCUGCAACCCGACUACACGAAGCCGGAAUCGCUAGUAAUCGCGGAUCAGAAUGCCGCGGUGAAUACGUUCCCGGGUCUUGUACACACCGCCCGUCACACCAUGGGAGUCGGAAAUGCCCGAAGUCAGUGACCCAACCGGAAGGAAGGAGCUGCCGAAGGUGGAGCCGGUAACUGGGGUGAAGUCGUAACAAGGUAUC
RNAcentral lists this ribosomal RNA (202 nucleotides) under uncultured bacterium. Its description in RNAcentral is "partial 16S ribosomal RNA". It matches the Rfam family "Bacterial small subunit ribosomal RNA", at positions 1299 to 1500 of the family's 1533-position model. The record is from RNAcentral.